AGCUUGUUGGUGGGGUGAUGGCCUACCAAGGCUUUGACGGGUAGCCGGCCUGAGAGGGUGACCGGUCACAUUGGGACUGAGAUACGGCCCAGACUCCUACGGGAGGCAGCAGUGGGGAAUAUUGCACAAUGGGCGAAAGCCUGAUGCAGCGACGCCGCGUGAGGGAUGACGGCCUUCGGGUUGUAAACCUCUUUCGCUCAUGGUCAAGCCGCAACAGUGGUUGUGGUGAGGGUAGUGGGUAAAGAAGCGCCGGCUAACUACGUGCCAGCAGCCGCGGUAAUACGUAGGGCGCGAGCGUUGUCCGGAAUUAUUGGGCGUAAAGGGCUUGUAGGCGGUUGGUCGCGUCUGCCGUGAAAUCCUCUGGCUUAAC
This 370-nucleotide ribosomal RNA is filed under the name Actinomyces sp. HGH0041. Its description in RNAcentral is "bacterial SSU rRNA". It matches the Rfam family "Bacterial small subunit ribosomal RNA", at positions 243 to 613 of the family's 1533-position model. The record is from RNAcentral. Lineage: Bacteria; Bacillati; Actinomycetota; Actinomycetes; Actinomycetales; Actinomycetaceae.